This 232-nucleotide signal recognition particle RNA is filed under the name Callithrix jacchus (white-tufted-ear marmoset). Its description in RNAcentral is "Metazoan signal recognition particle RNA (ENSCJAG00000058422.2)". It matches the Rfam family "Metazoan signal recognition particle RNA". Rfam says of the family: The signal recognition particle (SRP) is a universally conserved ribonucleoprotein. It is involved in the co-translational targeting of proteins to membranes. The eukaryotic SRP consists of a 300-nucleotide 7S RNA and six proteins: SRPs 72, 68, 54, 19, 14, and 9. The record is from RNAcentral. Lineage: Eukaryota; Metazoa; Chordata; Mammalia; Primates; Cebidae.
GCUGGGCAUGGUGGCGCGUGCCUAUAGUCCCAGCUACUCGGGAGGCUGAGGCAGGAGAAUCGCUUGAACCCAGGAGGCGGAGGUUGCAGUGAACCGAGAUCAUGCACUGUUUUUUUUGUUUGUCUGUUUUGAGACGGAGUUUCGCUGUUGUUACCCAGGCUGGAGAGCAGCGGUGCAGUCUUGGCUCACUGCAGCCUCCACUUCCCAGGUUCAAAUGCUUCUCCUGCCUCAU